GGGGAUAUAGCUCAGUUGGUAGAGUGCUUGCCUGGCAUGUACAAGGCCCUGGGUUCAAUCCCUAGCACUGCCA
Ictidomys tridecemlineatus (thirteen-lined ground squirrel) is the source of this 73-nucleotide non-coding RNA. The record is from Rfam. NCBI's taxonomy places the organism in Eukaryota, Metazoa, Chordata, Mammalia, Rodentia, Sciuridae.